AAAUUGAAGAGUUUGAUCAUGGCUCAGAUUGAACGCUGGCGGCAGGCCUAACACAUGCAAGUCGAGCGGUAACACAGAGAGCUUGCUCUCGGGUGACGAGCGGCGGACGGGUGAGUAAUGUCUGGGAAACUGCCUGAUGGAGGGGGAUAACUACUGGAAACGGUAGCUAAUACCGCAUAACGUCGCAAGACCAAAGUGGGGGACCUUCGGGCCUCAUGCCAUCAGAUGUGCCCAGAUGGGAUUAGCUAGUAGGUGGGGUAACGGCUCACCUAGGCGACGAUCCCUAGCUGGUCUGAGAGGAUGACCAGCCACACUGGAACUGAGACACGGUCCAGACUCCUACGGGAGGCAGCAGUGGGGAAUAUUGCACAAUGGGCGCAAGCCUGAUGCAGCCAUGCCGCGUGUGUGAAGAAGGCCUUCGGGUUGUAAAGCACUUUCAGCGGGGAGGAAGGCGGUGAGGUUAAUAACCUCACCGAUUGACGUUACCCGCAGAAGAAGCACCGGCUAACUCCGUGCCAGCAGCCGCGGUAAUACGGAGGGUGCAAGCGUUAAUCGGAAUUACUGGGCGUAAAGCGCACGCAGGCGGUCUGUCAAGUCGGAUGUGAAAUCCCCGGGCUCAACCUGGGAACUGCAUUCGAAACUGGCAGGCUAGAGUCUUGUAGAGGGGGGUAGAAUUCCAGGUGUAGCGGUGAAAUGCGUAGAGAUCUGGAGGAAUACCGGUGGCGAAGGCGGCCCCCUGGACAAAGACUGACGCUCAGGUGCGAAAGCGUGGGGAGCAAACAGGAUUAGAUACCCUGGUAGUCCACGCCGUAAACGAUGUCGAUUUGGAGGUUGUGCCCUUGAGGCGUGGCUUCCGGAGCUAACGCGUUAAAUCGACCGCCUGGGGAGUACGGCCGCAAGGUUAAAACUCAAAUGAAUUGACGGGGGCCCGCACAAGCGGUGGAGCAUGUGGUUUAAUUCGAUGCAACGCGAAGAACCUUACCUGGUCUUGACAUCCACAGAACUUUCCAGAGAUGGAUUGGUGCCUUCGGGAACUGUGAGACAGGUGCUGCAUGGCUGUCGUCAGCUCGUGUUGUGAAAUGUUGGGUUAAGUCCCGCAACGAGCGCAACCCUUAUCCUUUGUUGCCAGCGGUCCGGCCGGGAACUCAAAGGAGACUGCCAGUGAUAAACUGGAGGAAGGUGGGGAUGACGUCAAGUCAUCAUGGCCCUUACGACCAGGGCUACACACGUGCUACAAUGGCAUAUACAAAGAGAAGCGACCUCGCGAGAGCAAGCGGACCUCAUAAAGUAUGUCGUAGUCCGGAUUGGAGUCUGCAACUCGACUCCAUGAAGUCGGAAUCGCUAGUAAUCGUAGAUCAGAAUGCUACGGUGAAUACGUUCCCGGGCCUUGUACACACCGCCCGUCACACCAUGGGAGUGGGUUGCAAAAGAAGUAGGUAGCUUAACCUUCGGGAGGGCGCUUACCACUUUGUGAUUCAUGACUGGGGUGAAGUCGUAACAAGGUAACCGUAGGGGAACCUGCGGUUGGAUCACCUCCUUA
Molecule: ribosomal RNA, 1540 nt
Filed under: Klebsiella pneumoniae
Lineage: Bacteria; Pseudomonadati; Pseudomonadota; Gammaproteobacteria; Enterobacterales; Enterobacteriaceae
Description: bacterial SSU rRNA
Rfam family: Bacterial small subunit ribosomal RNA
Source: RNAcentral